GCCAGGCGUGGUGGCGCAUGCCUGUAGUCCCAGCUACUCUGGAGGCUGAGGCAGGAGAAUCGCUUGAACCGAGGAGGCGGAGGUUGCAGUGAGCCAAGAUUGUGCCACUGCACUCCAGCCUGGGCAACAGAGCGAGACUCUGUCUCAA
RNAcentral lists this non-coding RNA (148 nucleotides) under Pan troglodytes (chimpanzee). The record is from Rfam by way of RNAcentral. Lineage: Eukaryota; Metazoa; Chordata; Mammalia; Primates; Hominidae.